Molecule: transfer-messenger RNA, 353 nt
Filed under: Lysobacterales
Lineage: Bacteria; Pseudomonadati; Pseudomonadota; Gammaproteobacteria
Also listed under: 1 other name
Description: JADKFD01 sp016717705 Standard tmRNA
Rfam family: transfer-messenger RNA
About the family: Bacterial tmRNA, also known as 10Sa RNA or SsrA, is named for its dual tRNA and mRNA-like properties. Its role is to liberate the mRNA from a stalled ribosome. To accomplish this part of the tmRNA is used as a reading frame that ends in a translation stop signal.
Source: RNAcentral
GGGGGCGCAUUUGGCUUCGACGGAAGUCACGAGACCUUGGGUGCAUGCCGAGGGGGUAGCUUUCCUCGUUAAUCCAGCUGCAAGACUCUAGUCGCGAACGACGAAGUCUACGCUCUAGCAGCCUAAGGGCUGCUUAACCACUCUACCUUGUGUCUGUGCUCGGUAAUGGUGGGUCAGAAUCACAGAAUCGUGAGCCAGGCGGGCCUGACGUCGGCAACUAAAACUUCCAGGCUGGUCACGCAGCUUUCCUGUCGGUUGGAGCGCGGCGUGACGAGAUCUGAUAAUCGACUAAGCAUGUAGAUCGCAAGAUGUAGGGCUUGCGGACGGGGGUUCGACUCCCCCCGCCUCCACCA